GACGAACGCUGGCGGCGUGCUUAAUACAUGCAAGUAGAACGCUGAAGGAGGAGUUUGCUUCUCUGGAUGAGUUGCGAACGGGUGAGUAACGCGUAGGUAACCUGCCUUUUAGUGUGGGAUAACUUCUGGAAACUAUAGCUAAUACCGCAUAAGAGUAGAUGUUGCAUGACAUUGGCUGAAAAGUUUCAAUUGCAUCACUACGAGACGCAGCUUCGUUGCAUUGGCAUGGUGUAGGGGUAUCGGCUCACCUAGGCGACGAUGCAUACUAGACCUGCGAGGGGGGUCGGCCGCCCUGGGACUGUGACCGGGCCCAGACUCCUACGGGUGGCAGCCGUAGUGAUUCUUCGGCAAUGGGCGGGAGUCUGACCGCGAAACGCCGCGUGCGUGUAGAACGUUUUCGGGUCGUGAAGGUCUGUUGUCAGGGUAGAAACCGUGUGAGAGUGGAAAGUUCACACUGUGACGGUAUCUUACAAGAAAGGACCGGCUAACUACGUG
Molecule: ribosomal RNA, 495 nt
Filed under: uncultured bacterium
Lineage: Bacteria
Description: partial 16S ribosomal RNA
Rfam family: Bacterial small subunit ribosomal RNA
Source: RNAcentral